RNAcentral lists this ribosomal RNA (934 nucleotides) under Salmonella enterica subsp. enterica serovar Typhimurium. RNAcentral's name for it is "partial 23S ribosomal RNA". It matches the Rfam family "Bacterial large subunit ribosomal RNA", at positions 830 to 1677 of the family's 2925-position model. The record is from RNAcentral. Lineage: Bacteria; Pseudomonadati; Pseudomonadota; Gammaproteobacteria; Enterobacterales; Enterobacteriaceae.
CAAUCAAACCGGGAGAUAGCUGGUUCUCCCCGAAAGCUAUUUAGGUAGCGCCUCGUGAAUUCAUCUCCGGGGGUAGAGCACUGUUUCGGCUAGGGGGCCAUCCCGGCUUACCAACCCGAUGCAAACUGCGAAUACCGGAGAAUGUUAUCACGGGAGACACACGGCGGGUGCUAACGUCCGUCGUGAAGAGGGAAACAACCCAGACCGCCAGCUAAGGUCCCAAAGUCAUGGUUAAGUGGGAAACGAUGUGGGAAGGCCCAGACAGCCAGGAUGUUGGCUUAGAAGCAGCCAUCAUUUAAAGAAAGCGUAAUAGCUCACUGGUCGAGUCGGCCUGCGCGGAAGAUGUAACGGGGCUAAACCAUGCACCGAAGCUGCGGCAGCGAACGUAUCACCCAAGACAACUUUACGGAGUUGACGAUUGACGGAGCGAAGCGACGUCAAAGCGUUCAUUAAAGUCGAGUUGGCUUAGGGAUACGUUCGUUGGGUAGGGGAGCGUUCUGUAAGCCUGUGAAGGUGUGUCGUGAGGCAUGCUGGAGGUAUCAGAAGUGCGAAUGCUGACAUAAGUAACGAUAAAGCGGGUGAAAAGCCCGCUCGCCGGAAGACCAAGGGUUCCUGUCCAACGUUAAUCGGGGCAGGGUGAGUCGACCCCUAAGGCGAGGCCGAAAGGCGUAGUCGAUGGGAAACGGGUUAAUAUUCCCGUACUUGGUGUUACUGCGAAGGGGGGACGGAGAAGGCUAUGUUGGCCGGGCGACGGUUGUCCCGGUUUAAGCGUGUAGGUGUGUGUUCCAGGUAAAUCCGGUUCACUUUAACACUGAGGCGUGACGACGAGGCACUACGGUGCUGAAGCAACAAAUGCCCUGCUUCCAGGAAAAGCCUCUAAGCAUCAGGUAACAUCAAAUCGUACCCCAAACCGACACAGGUGGUCAGGUAGAGA